This 343-nucleotide long non-coding RNA is filed under the name Homo sapiens (human). RNAcentral's name for it is "HSALNT0395760". The record is from RNAcentral. Lineage: Eukaryota; Metazoa; Chordata; Mammalia; Primates; Hominidae.
GGAGGCCGGGAGGGGUCCCUGGGCGGGGAGUUGCUGCGCAUCUGUUGUGUGUGUGCGUCUGUCUGUCUGUUCAGGUCUGUUUUAGGCUGUGUCUGCCUGUCUCUCUGUCUGGGUCUCUUUCAGGCUGCGUCGGUCUGUCUGUCUGUCUGUCUGGGUCUGUUUCAGGCUGUGUCUGUCUGUCUGUCCGGGUCUGUUUCAGGCUGUGUCUGGGUCUGUUUCAGGCUGUGUCUGUCUGUCUGUCCGGGUCUGUUUCAGGCUGUGUCUGUCUGUCUGUCCGGGUCUGUUUCAGGCUGUAUGUGUGUCUGCUCUUUGCUUCUGCUCCUGGCUCUGUGUGUAUUUCCCG